RNAcentral lists this ribosomal RNA (327 nucleotides) under uncultured eukaryote. RNAcentral's name for it is "partial 18S ribosomal RNA". It matches the Rfam family "Eukaryotic small subunit ribosomal RNA", at positions 1470 to 1796 of the family's 1831-position model. The record is from RNAcentral.
CCCUUAGAUGUUCUGGGCUGCACGCGCGCUACACUGAAGCGUUCAACGAGUAUUCACCUUGCCCGGGAGGGUUGGGUAAUCUUUUCAAAACGCUUCGUGAUGGGGAUAGAUUAUUGCAAUUAUUAAUCUUCAACGAGGAAUUCCUAGUAAGCGCGAGUCAUCAGCUCGUGCUGAUUACGUCCCUGCCCUUUGUACACACCGCCCGUCGCACCUACCGAUUGAAUGGUCCGGUGAAAUCUUGGGAUCCUGUGAGACGGUCUUUAUUGUACUGUUUUGUGGGAGAACUUGAGUAAACCUUACCAUUUGGAGGAAGGUGAAGUCGUAACA